AUACUUACCUGGACGGGGUCAAUGGGUGAUCAUAAAGGUCCAUGGCCUAGGCCUGGGGCUUCCAUUGCACUUUGGAGGAGUCCAUGCUUAAGGUCUACCUAAUUGGUGGAGCCUACGUCAUAAUUUGUGGCAGUGGGGGCCUGCGUUCGCGCGGCCCCUAU
Molecule: small nuclear RNA, 161 nt
Organism: Prosopis cineraria
Lineage: Eukaryota; Viridiplantae; Streptophyta; Magnoliopsida; Fabales; Fabaceae
Product: U1 spliceosomal RNA
Exons: 1
Source: RefSeq, a predicted model, not a curated record